This 253-nucleotide ribosomal RNA is filed under the name uncultured bacterium. RNAcentral's name for it is "partial 16S ribosomal RNA". It matches the Rfam family "Bacterial small subunit ribosomal RNA", at positions 524 to 776 of the family's 1533-position model. The record is from RNAcentral.
UACGUAGGGGGCAAGCGUUGUCCGGAUUUAUUGGGCGUAAAGAGCUCGUAGGCGGUCUGUCACGUCUGCUGUGAAAACUCGGGGCUUAACCCCGGGCCUGCAGUGGGUACGGGCAGACUAGAGUGCGGUAGGGGAGACUGGAAUUCCUGGUGUAGCGGUGAAAUGCGCAGAUAUCAGGAGGAACACCGGUGGCGAAGGCGGGUCUCUGGGCCGUAACUGACGCUGAGGAGCGAAAGCGUGGGGAGCGAACAGG